Molecule: long non-coding RNA, 2386 nt
Organism: Acinonyx jubatus (cheetah)
Lineage: Eukaryota; Metazoa; Chordata; Mammalia; Carnivora; Felidae
Exons: 3
Source: RefSeq, a predicted model, not a curated record
UGUAAGCCAUGGUGAAGGUGCAGACUGAGACCUGCAGAAUGGUGUGAGCCCGCUUAAGGGUCUGUUAAAGGGGUGGAGAGGAAGGAGGAGCCUGGCCAGACAGGAAGGAUUUCACAAUGGGGCUUUGAGCAUCCCCAGGAUGACUUAGCAAAAACAGUCACCCACCUGUAAGUGCUGUUUCAACAAGGAGGUUGCUCCUCCUAUUUACAGACUCUGAACAAAGCCACCUACCUGCCCCACCCUGCUGGCAACCUGGGAAGGGCCAAUUUGAUAUCUAUGUGCAAACAUGAAUAAUUCACUACUUGCAGGAAACUAGAGCCCCAAAGGUCAAAUGGGGAGGAAAAAAGGGAGGGAGGGAUGCAGGAUUGACUCCGACCUGCCCCAGCAAGUUGUUCUCACUUGGCACAGACGUUUAUUGUCUGCGGAGGGCCAGGCUCUGAACUGUGCCACUGAGAGGUCAGGGUCUGCCUAGAUCUGAAAGAUGAGGAAGAGAAUUGGGAUACAUGUUCCCUCAACUCAGACUACAACUGAAACCUAUAUAUUACCGUGCAUGUGUUUUUCUUUGGCUGUUGCCUUCCACGGGCACAAAAUCAAAGGGACCCUUAGGAGGACAGUGUGAUUUUCUAGAAAUAAUGGCUUUCAGUGGCUCAGCUUGCACCAGGCAGAAGAGAUGAAGUUUGUCUUGGAAAGUCUUUCAGGUCAUGCGGCUGACAUCAGUCAUGGUCGGGGUAAUGGGGAGGAGUCGCAGAGCAGGUACAUGUCCAUUGGGAACUGUCUUCGAGAACAAAUAAGCAAGGCUUGGGAGCAGCUGGUAUUGAGAAUCUGAUUUGCUGAGAAGAUGGAGGAACUAGUCACCAGGGAGUGUCCAGCUUUUCUGGCUUUUGUGGCCUGUUCCAUAGGUCUUUAGAGCCCAUGGGAACCUGUGUCUCUACUGGCUGCUCCCUAAAAACAAGCCUCCAUUACUUGAGUGGGAAUGGAAUCUUUGGCCAUUAAAGGAGGCAGGAAAUGCAGAGUGAAGUGUGUCUCUCCCCGCCCCCUCCCCCCCCCCCCCCCCCCCAGCCCCGAGACUGGGUAGAGUUCCUAGAAACAGCCCAAUAAAUGUUCCUACCAGGCCACGGAGUCAGAAGAACUUGGCCUUGACAGUGGGCUGAACUUCAACAUGAACUUGCCAGGCUUAUCUGCAUGCCUGGAGCUUUCCCAGUAUUCUCUAGGCAUCUGGACAUCUCUUAUUGGCUGCCCCUCUGGUCCUCUGUCCAGGAAGACCAUGGAAGUUCCUGAGCUGAGUGGGGGCUCCCUCUUCCUUAGGGACACGCCAUCCCUUUUCUCCAAGUACAAUUUAGGACCCUUUGUCAUGCAGGCUCUCACCUUUCAUGAUUGAAUAAAACUGAUGAGACUCUCCUAAAAUACUUUGUUUCCAACUUUACCUCAAACUGGCUUGAGUUGGAGGUAAACUCAAGAAGCUUAUUACUUUGGACAUGCACUAACAAGUGUGUGAUUCCCAUGGCUUUCCGCAGUAGUUGUUCUGGAAACUGCACUGGCUUAGAAGGCAAAAAGUCCAGGUAGGUGAUGGUUCUCAACUCUGGCUACAGAUGAGAAUUGCUUAUCAGGAUUUUUCUACAUAGAGAUACCAACGCUUUUCCCUCCAGAGAUUUCAAUUCUGAUGUUUCUAGCCAUGACUCUGCCACUGUUAGAUGAGGCCCUUAGGCACCUGUUGCCUUAUCUGCUGAAUUUAGAUAAUCACUCUCCUGAUCUCCCACAGAUAUGAUUGUUAGGAUGGAAGAGAUCAAGUAUUGCAAGUUUUCUAUAACUAUGAAGUGCAGGUGAAGAUCUUAAGCUACCACCAGCCUGCCUUUUUUGACUCCUUCUUCAUUGUAUCCUGACUCCCAUUUUCUAUCUCUUCCAUCAAUUGUGUGCCCCAAAGUAUAGUAUUUGGCACCCCCAGGUCCCCAAGAUCACAGUCUGCCUUGCUUCCUUGGAGUAUCCAAUCACAGGACCAGGACAAACUUCUGAAAGAUUACUUAAUCCCUCCUCAUGCCUUCAGGAAGACUUGUUCCUGUCCAUCCCAGACAGAGGAGAACGUUCUUGGCUUUAAAGACUCCUUCAGACAUAGAUAUUCAGCAUCCUGCCAGUGACUCAAUCUUAUUUCUGCACUGUAGGCCCACUAGAGAGCAUCGGGGGUAUGGCUGGGCUCCCCUGCAGGUGGCAUCAGGAAAGGUACAAUAAGGAAGAUGACGGUCUGCUGCUUCCAUUGUCAUUCUACUACUGUUGCUUUAUAGGGUUCUGGAGCCUCUUUUACUGGCACUGCCUCUCCCUCUCCCCCUUAUCUGACAGGGUCAAGUGAAAACUACCCCCCGGGGACUCAUACAGGCAGCCAUACCUCUGGUUU